AUGGGGAGGGCGCCAUGCUGCCAGAAGCUGGGGCUGAAGCAAGGAAAGUGGACCAAGGAGGAGGACGGCAUACUUGCAAACUACAUAGCCCAGCAUGGUGAGGGAUCAUGGAGGUCUCUGCCCAAGAAUGCAGGGCUACUGAGGUGUGGCAAGAGUUGCAGGCUGCGGUGGCUCAACUACCUGAGGGGCGGGCUGAAGAGGGGCAACUUCUCUAAGGAGGAGGACGAUCUCAUCGUGAAGCUCCAUGCCACCAAUGGCAACAGGUGGUCGCUAAUCGCCAGCCACCUACCAGGGCGGACCGACAAUGAGAUCAAGAACUACUGGAAUUUGCAUCUCGGGCGGCAGUUCCACAGCUUCAAGCAGACAUACACUGCCAACAACAGCACCACCAUAACCAUUGACAUCAACAAGCUUUCUGCCACCAACAGGAAACGACGAGGCGGUCAGGCGCCAGGUCAAUUGCCAAGGAGCAGCACGAAGAAGCAGCCAACACCUAAGCCCGCCAAGCCGCAGGAUGGCUCUAGCCCGAUUGGUGCCACUUCAUUAGCAUCAUGCCUACCACAGGGUAAUCAGGACCAGAACCAGCCCAUCAACAUCACUGUCAGCCAUACUUUUGGUGAGCCCUACAGUGGAAAUGGGAUAUGUCACAUGGUCAGGGACAACAUAGACCAGAAUGGUGGUGUCCUAGAGCCAAACAGUGCAAUAGAUUGGAUUGAGCUCUUGGAACCGAACAACUCAAUGAAUCAUAUUGGGCUUUUGGAGGACGAAAGCGAGAUGGAGGCCCUAUUGUCAAGCAUGGACUUGACAACUAGUGGGCAUUCAGUCAUUGAGCAUGGAGGCCAGUCUUGGUUGGAGGAUCUCCUAGACAUGGGGUGGGAGGGGUUUGCAUCCCAUCUUUGGGGCCAGUCUGCCCAGAAUGAUCUUCUCCAGACUACUAUGCCACAUGCAAUGACAGGCUCCGAGGUGAGGGAGUUCGAGCAGUUCGUAAGUUGGCUCCUCUCUGAUGAGUUCUAA
Molecule: ribosomal RNA, 1014 nt
Filed under: Triticum aestivum (bread wheat)
Lineage: Eukaryota; Viridiplantae; Streptophyta; Magnoliopsida; Poales; Poaceae
Description: partial small subunit ribosomal RNA
Source: RNAcentral